This 1115-nucleotide long non-coding RNA is filed under the name Cyanistes caeruleus (blue tit). RNAcentral's name for it is "lncRNA (ENSCCEG00000000886.1)". Lineage: Eukaryota; Metazoa; Chordata; Aves; Passeriformes; Paridae. The record is from RNAcentral.
GAGCCUCUUUCAUGGCGCCCGUAAGGGGGAAGGGGAGCGCCAUCCCGGCCCCGCGGUACCGGGGGCUGCGGACCCCCCGGCACGGCACGGCACGGCACGGCACAGCCCAGCGCUGCCGCUGGGACUCACUGCGAGCUGCUCCCUGUGCGCGGCACCUCUGCCCAAAGCAGCCCAAAGCAGCUCGAAGGUCUGCCCGCGUCCCCAGCUGCUGAGCAUCCCCAUCCCUCCACCGGGGUGUCCCCCACGCCAGCGCCCUCCGCCGCACCGGGGGGCGCGGGGGGCCCGUACUCACUCCACGAUCCUCCUGCGCCAGCGCUUGUUCUCGCUGGGGUGGUGGCGGUAGGUGCCGUAGUCGAAGAGGGAGUCCAUGGGGGCUUUCUUGGGUGCGGGGACCACGGGGGACUCGUAGAUGGUGGCCUCCAGCAGCUCCAUGGGCUUCGGGGCGCCUUUCCGAAAGGCCCCGUGGAAUUUCAUGCGGAGGUUUUGCUUUCCAUCCCCGGCACCGGGGGGACCCCGGGUUGCCUCGGCGGGGCUCGGGAUGUCCUCGCUCUCGAACAGGUUGGCCAGAGAGGAGAGCGGGAAGGAUUCGUUCUGGAGGGUGCCGUCCUCCCCCGCGCCCUCCCCGGCAUCGCGCGGGGCGUCCUCGGUGUCUGCCAUGGUCCCUGCCCGGAGGGACGGGCACGACCCACCUGCCUGCCUGUGACCCCCGGCUUCUUCCAGGAGAGCAGGAGAGCUGGCAGAGGAAAACCCCGUGUCACUCCCCAAAGACCCUCCCCAUCCUCUCCCCGGGGACCGAGCCUCGCGGCGGGACAGGUCCCACACCCACCCUGGCACAGGUUGGGGUCGGGGGGACUCCUUGAAGCUCAGAACCCCCCGGACGGUCCUGCCUUGUCCCGGCUCUCCUCAGCACCCACCGAUCGCUGCGGGGACCCCUCACGUCUGCGGGGGCCCCUCCGGCUGCGGCGCUGCCGUGCUGGGCGAGGGCGAGCCCGGCCCCGCUGCGGUCAGCCGGGGUGCAGCCCAGGACAGGGCACAGAGCAGACCCUGUGCGCUGCGAUCUGCCGCCCAAGGAAAGAAAACAUUCCUUGGGAUACUCCCCACAUCCAAGGAAGCGU